This is a non-coding RNA of Pelobates cultripes (western spadefoot toad), 300 nucleotides long. NCBI's taxonomy places the organism in Eukaryota, Metazoa, Chordata, Amphibia, Anura, Pelobatidae. The record is from the annotation of a GenBank genome assembly.
CAGAGCUGCUGUUUGGAUGUAAACUGCCUCCCACUCUCAUAGAUCUUUUGCUUGAGGAUGCUCCAAAGGUUCUCAAUAGGAUUGAGGUCAGGGGAGGAUGGAGGCCACACCAUCACUUUCUCUCCUUUUAUCCCCAUAGCAGCCAUUGAUGCAGAGGUAUUCUUUGCAGCAUGAGAUGGUGCAUUGUCAUGCAUGAAGAUGAUUUUAUUACGAAAAGCAUAGUUCUUCCUUCUGUACCAGGGAAGAAAGUAGUCAGUCAGAAACUCCACAUACUUUGCAGAGGUCAUCUUUACAUCUUCG